GGAAGCACGCGUGGGGGCCUGUUCCUUCCCCCGCCUGGGGAAUCUCCCUUGUUGUUGUUAUUGUUGGAAAAACGUCAGCAGGGCUUGGUUUGGUGAAACAAAUUCAAGCCGAUUAACGUAGUGUGAGGCCUUUGUUAUUUUUGUUGUUGUUUGGGGAGAUUUCUGUGGUCUUGAGUUGAGGCAAUCCUGCUUUAGUCUCUCAAAUGCCAGGAUUACAGAUAUUUGAGUUCCUUCCACCUUAUGCCUGCUGUGAACAAGGAGCUGCAGUGAAUAUGUAAAAGUUACUUCAAUCAUAGUAGCACACUCCUUUAAUUCCAGCACUCAGAAGGCUGAGAGGCAGAUGCUGACCAGAGGAUGUUUGUAGACGCCAUAACUAAUGCUUUGGGAGUCCUUAUCUUUUGCAAAGCUCCCCUCCAGGGCAUGUGGCUCCAUGCCACUGUGUGACUGACCUCCGCAAGGCCUUACCUCAGGCAACAUGGGGUUUGUUCCUUCUCUUCUCCA
Long non-coding RNA from Peromyscus maniculatus bairdii (prairie deer mouse), 501 nucleotides. RefSeq lists it as uncharacterized. The record is from RefSeq and is a predicted model, not a curated record. Lineage: Eukaryota; Metazoa; Chordata; Mammalia; Rodentia; Cricetidae.